Molecule: ribosomal RNA, 413 nt
Filed under: uncultured bacterium
Lineage: Bacteria
Description: bacterial SSU rRNA
Rfam family: Bacterial small subunit ribosomal RNA
Source: RNAcentral
GUGCCAGCAGCCGCGGUAAUACGUAGGUGGCAAGCGUUGUCCGGAAUUAUUGGGCGUAAAGGGCGUGUAGGCGGGAUAAUAAGUCUGUUGUAAAAGUGCGGGGCUCAACCCCGUAAGGUCAAUGGAAACUGUUAUUCUUGAGUGCAGGAGAGGAAAGUGGAAUUCCCAGUGUAGCGGUGAAAUGCGUAGAUAUUGGGAGGAACACCAGUGGCGAAGGCGACUUUCUGGACUGUGUCUGACGCUGAGGCGCGAAAGCCAGGGGAGCGAACGGGAUUAGAUACCCCGGUAGUCCUGGCCGUAAACGAUGGGUACUAGGUGUAGGAGGUAUCGACCCCUUCUGUGCCGGAGUUAACGCAAUAAGUACCCCGCCUGGGGAGUACGGCCGCAAGGUUGAAACUUAAAGGAAUUGACGG